ACAGUCAUGGAUUGAUUAGGCCCUGUACACAGAUCUCUGAAUCACGCUGAGAUAACUAUUACAUAAGUUGGUUUUCAAUGGAAAAAAAAAAAAUCACCAGAAAUCUGUCAUGGUUCUUCAGCUAACAAAAAACAAAACAAAAACAAACAAAACACCAACACACAAACAAACAAAAACCCCCACACAAAAACCCCACCCCUAAAAACCAAAAAACUCAAAUCCAAAACCCCUCUCCAAAACAAAUCUCACAAAAAACCCAACCAGCCAAACAAAACAAAACAAAAAUGGAUGGAAGGCACUACGGCAAAGUCUCAUUAGUUACCGAUGGUUGCUGAAGAGCUUUUAUGAUAAGAAAUGAGACCAAGGAAAGAGUCAUAACAAAAACAAAGAGCUGUUUGGGAAAAUAUUUCUCAUGAAUGCAUGAAAUUCAGUAUAAUGAGCAAAGAGACAAAUACAAAACAUUGACAACUUCCCAUUACAUGCAAGAGAUGAAAACGCAAAUGUCUCUACAGACAGCAACAAAGAACAUUUUAUCACAGUCUGCUUUUGGAUAUGAAUGGCCACAAAAUGAUUGCAUAAGGGACUCCACAAUUUACACCAGUGAUGGCAUAACUGACUUACUAAUAGGAUAAAAGGAAUCUGCUUUCACACAUCCAAAUAACAAGCAAAACCUUCAACAAAAUUACUACCUUUCUAACUGCAUCUGUUUCCUACUGGUGACCAACACAGCAACAGGUCUGUUACUUGAGUAAUUUGUUCAUGCUUGGUUGAGCGGAAGACGCAAACAGGAGAGGGAAAAUGCAGAGAUCUGGUAAAUUCCAGUUACUGCUUAGCAUCGAACAUCGCUGCUCCAAUUCUGAUUCCACAUCUUCAGGUUUUACAAAAGGCUGUCCAAGAAUCUUUCACAGAAACAACACAUGGAACAUAACUUUAGAUGUGUUAGCAGAUAAAUUAGCCCAUAUUCACAGGACAGCUUCAAGGGUAUGAGGCAGCAAAAGCCUGUGACUGGACUUUUCACCUAACAACCAAACUGAGAAGCUGCUAGAAUGCCACAUGUCAGUGAACAGAACUGCUGCUGCCAUCACAAACUCCAAUGUCAGAAACCACAGAACUUUUACCACCCCAUCCUGGUCUCCAGUGGAGAGGGCAUCUCUGGACCUGCUGGGAAGAUAGAGACGGGAAGCACAGUACAAGAGACGUUUUUCAUGACAAGACAAAUCCUCUACCCAAACUACCUUGAAGAAUCAACAAUUAGCAGGCAGCUUGGUGCUCCCAGCACAUACUUGGGAUGCCAGGCUAAACCACAUAAGCCUUCUGGCCAAGCACAGCAGGUCAAAAUUAGCAGGCAGCCUACACUGCCAGGGGCAGAGGCUGAGACAACCUCAAGGCAGGAAGAUCAGUGUACAGGUGCUGAACAGAACAGUUUCGCCUCCUAAGUGAGUAGCUCAAUUGCACUUGCUCAACUAACUGGCAACCACCAUCAUCUUUUCCUGAUGUACAUGUGACCUCAUUUUUGGUAUAAUUUAUGCAGCUGUUAUUGUCUCUGUGUAUUUUAAUAUAUGAAAAUAUAGACAGAGGUUUAUAUAAAAAUAUACAUUAAAAAUGACAAAGUUUUUUAAAAAAAAUAUGGAGACAAAUAAAACCAGUAUUUCUUUUCACAGGGUUACUGAGUUGCACUUUUCUUGGGGUUUUUUUUUAAUAAUAAGCGUUAUUCAUUUGCAACCUCUUAAUUUACAGAAACAUUUCUGCAUUUGUAUCAUCACAGCUGAAGAGGCACAGUGUUAGAUGCCAGAAUGAGAGUUGAUAAUACUUCUGCUUUCCUUUAUAAUCCCAUGAAAAUUCACAUAGAAAUUUAUAGCAAACUUUCACUGAAUUGGUAUGAGAAAAUUAACAAUGUAGAUUCUGACAUCCUUGGGUGACAUUCUGGAGAGUGACCGUACUUUGAUGAGGACAAUCAUUCUUCAGAUCUCCACCCUCCUUCCUUUCACAUACGUGUAAUUACUGAUACACAAAAAAUGCUGACAACAAAAUCUGCAAACAGAGCAGUUACUAAAGUUGCUUCAGAAGCAUUAGACAAAAUCCAACACAAUAUCCUAUGGCCUUCUUUCCGUACAACUUACUGUCUUACAUCAAGUGUCCUUGUGUAUCUAUUAUGUUCUGUGCAUAAUUAUUAGUUGAAGCAGUCAUGGUUCCUCAAACCAAAUCACAUUUAAUUUUAAGACUAACAUAUGUUGGAUAAGACCUUUAAGAUCAUCGAAUCCAACCACACACCUAACAAUGUCAAGUCCAUCACUAAACCAUAUCCCUGACUUAAUUAAGCCAUUCGCUUUCAGAGUUUUCCUUUAGGCAAUAAAGAAACAAAUAGAGUACUUGGUCAAAAAAACCAUCUCUCUUCAAAACAAAGCACCACUCUUUCCUUUUUAAGAUUUUUUUUUCUUCUGGUCUGCUCUGCUGUCAUUAGGAUUCAGCCAUUCAAAAGCUUAUUAACACCAAUGUGUGCAUUAAUCUAAUGGGGGAAAGUUCUCUGGAAAUGCAAAUGUCUAUUACUAAUUUUUGUUUACAUAAUACUGUAGACAGAAGUACUUUAUUUUAAGUAACAUACCUAUCAAAUGAGAACCUCCAGAUUUGUGGGAAGUCGUUACUCUUUCCUUAGAGAUAUAUUUCUAGUACUGAAGUAAGCUGGCCAAACACAGGAUGUAUUUAAUGUUUAC
Long non-coding RNA from Melospiza georgiana, 2711 nucleotides. RefSeq lists it as uncharacterized. The record is from RefSeq and is a predicted model, not a curated record. NCBI's taxonomy places the organism in Eukaryota, Metazoa, Chordata, Aves, Passeriformes, Passerellidae. The transcript is spliced from 4 exons.